AAGUUUCCUGACUGUUGUGACUAUUGUAUCCUACACAGUACUAGUUCUAGUCAAUGAGAAAAUGAGAGAAAAUUCUGACCCUUACUUGUAGAGCUGGUGAUAACGUCUUCUCUAUGUUUUCUCACAGACGGUCUUUUGAGUUCACUACUAAGUGAUGGGAAGAAAAAAUUCCAAGGUGGGAGAGUACCACACAGUUUGUCAUGUACAACAUCUAAAACCUAAGGCCACAAGGAGCCAGGCGGUUGUACACCUGGACACCAAGUUGCAGAUGCUACCAUGACACCAACAUGACUUCCCUGGGCAGACAACCUUACCAGUGUAUCCUGAAAUCCCAACAUCUCCGGAGCCCUGCCCCACCAGGGAAGACAGAAACAGGCUGGGAGUAUGGAUCGACCUGCCAAUGCCCAAGUCCAUCGGAGAAGCAAUUAUAGAAGCCAGAU
Long non-coding RNA from Erinaceus europaeus (western European hedgehog), 440 nucleotides. RefSeq lists it as uncharacterized. The record is from RefSeq and is a predicted model, not a curated record. NCBI's taxonomy places the organism in Eukaryota, Metazoa, Chordata, Mammalia, Eulipotyphla, Erinaceidae. The transcript is spliced from 3 exons.